CAAUAGCGUAUAUUUAAGUUGUUGCAGUUAAAAAGCUCGUAGUUGGAUUUCGGGUGGGACGCAGCGGUCUCGCAUUGCGUUUGUACUGCUGCAGCCCUCCUUCUUGCCGGGGGCGGCCUCUCGGACUUCACUGUCUGGGGGUCAGAAUCGGCGAUGUUACUUUGAGUAAAUUAGAGUGUUCAAAGCAAGCUUACGCUCUGAAUAUAAUAGCAUGGGAUAACACGACAGGACUCUGGCCUAUCGUGUUGGUCUAUAGGACCAGAGUAAUGAUUAAGAGGGACAGUCGGGGGCAUUCGUAUUGCGUUGUCAGAGGUGAAAUUCUUGGAUUUACGGAAGACGAACAUCUGCGAAAGCAUUUGCCAAGGAUGUUUUCAUUGA
This 378-nucleotide ribosomal RNA is filed under the name uncultured eukaryote. RNAcentral describes it as "partial 18S ribosomal RNA". It matches the Rfam family "Eukaryotic small subunit ribosomal RNA", at positions 592 to 976 of the family's 1831-position model. The record is from RNAcentral.